AUGGACUGCUGCUGCCGUGCGCGCCGCCUGGAUCUGGUGAUCGCCUUCUUCGGCCGUCUCCUCAAGACGGGCCUGGAGGCAGACCGAGUCGUUUUCAGCACCCUCCUCAAGGGACUCUGCCAUGCAAAGCGCUCAGAUGAGGCUCUGGACGUGCUGCUUCACAGGAUGCCUGGGCUGGGCUGCACCCCCGGCGUAGUGGCGUAUAACACCGUCAUCCAUGGCUUCUUUAAGGAAGGUCAAGUAGGCAAGGCAUGCAAUCUAUUUCAUGAAAUGGCGCAGCAGGGCGUUAUGCCUGAUGUGGUGACAUAUAGCUCGGUUAUUGAUGCGCUGUGCAAGGCCAGAGCAAUGGACAAGGCAGAGUAUUUCCUUCGUCAGAUGGUUGAUGAUGGUGUCGUACCUAAUAAUGUCACAUAUAAUAGCCUCAUCCAUGGAUAUUCCUCUUCAGGCCAUUGGAAGGAGGCAGUUAGGGUAUUCAAAGAGAUGACAAGUCGGAGGGUUACACCAGAUGUGCAUACUUACAACAUGUUUAUGACCUUUCUUUGCAAACAUGGAAGAAGCAAAGAAGCUGCAGGAAUUUUUGAGACCAUGGCUAUGAAGGGCCUGAAACCUAACAACGUUUCAUAUGCUAUUCUCCUUCAUGGGUAUGCCACUGAAGGAUGCUUAGUUGAUAUGAUUAAUCUCUUCAAUUCAAUGACUAGAGAUGGUAUUCGGCCUAACUGUCACACUUUGAACAUACUGAUUAAUGCAUAUGCUAAAUCUGGCAUGAUGGAUGAGGCUAUGCUUAUCUUUAAAGGAAUGCGGAAACAGGGAGUGAGUCCAGAUGUAGUCACCUAUUCAACUGUAAUACAUGCAUUUUGCAAAAUGGGUAGCUUGGACAUUGCUAUGGACAAAUUUAACCAGAUGGUUGAUAUGGGAGUACGACCGAAUGCAGUUGUUUAUCAUUCCCUAAUCCAGAGUUUUUGUACACAUGGGGAUUUCGUGAAAGCAAAGGAAUUGGUUACUGAAAUGAGGAACAAAGGUAUGCGUCCUCCUGAUAUUAACUUCUUCCAUUCAAUAAUGCAGAACCUAUGCACAGAAGGAAGGGUAACAGAAGCACGGGAUAUCCUUGACUUGAUAGUGCACAUAGGUAUGAGGCCUGAUGUUCUCAUAUUUAGUUUACUGAUCGAUGGAUACUGCCUAGUCUCCAAGAUGGAGGAUGCAUCAAAAAUAUUUGAUGAUAUGGUGUCAUAUGGUUUGGAACCUUCUAAUAUUACG
Molecule: ribosomal RNA, 1254 nt
Filed under: Triticum aestivum (bread wheat)
Lineage: Eukaryota; Viridiplantae; Streptophyta; Magnoliopsida; Poales; Poaceae
Description: partial small subunit ribosomal RNA
Source: RNAcentral